AAAAGUGCUUAUAGUGCAGGUAGU
RNAcentral lists this non-coding RNA (24 nucleotides) under Mus musculus (house mouse). The record is from RNAcentral. RNAcentral also lists the same sequence under 2 other names. Lineage: Eukaryota; Metazoa; Chordata; Mammalia; Rodentia; Muridae.